RNAcentral lists this long non-coding RNA (345 nucleotides) under Pongo abelii (Sumatran orangutan). RNAcentral's name for it is "lincRNA". The record is from RNAcentral. Lineage: Eukaryota; Metazoa; Chordata; Mammalia; Primates; Hominidae.
UCUUUUUAGGUCUUAUUCUCAGAUGGUCUUGGGUAAAUGGUGGCUGAUUGCCUUCAGCAUCUAGAACAAAACACUCUAUGGCCCAGAGGAAUUCCAGCUGGCCUCUAUGAUCUUAUUCUCUUGAGGAAUGGACCACGCAGUAUCCCUCAAGAAAGAAUCAAGAAUGUUUCCACAGGGAAUAUACAUAUUUCAUCUCUUUCUCUGCUGAAUGGAUGCCCACUGAAAGCCAUGAAUUAGUCUUAUUAGACCCUGUAGAAUCCCAGUUUAUGGCAGUGACAUUAAAAACAUCUAGUUUAUGACUUGGAUUAGGCAGCCUGUAAAAUGGCUUCCAGUGAUCGCUGCUUU